UACGGGGGGGGCAAGCGUUGUUCGGAAUUACUGGGCGUAAAGGGCUCGUAGGCGGCCAACUAAGUCAGACGUGAAAUCCCCGGGCUUAACCUGGGAACUGCAUUUGUGACUGCAUCGCUGGAGUGCGGAAGAGGGAAGCGGAAUUUCCGGUGUAGCGGUGAAAUGCGUAGAUAUCGGAAGGAACACCAGUGGCGAAAGCGGCUUCCUGGUCCAGCACCGACGUUCAGGCACGAAAGCGUGGGGAGCAAACAGG
This 253-nucleotide ribosomal RNA is filed under the name uncultured bacterium. RNAcentral's name for it is "partial 16S ribosomal RNA". It matches the Rfam family "Bacterial small subunit ribosomal RNA", at positions 524 to 776 of the family's 1533-position model. The record is from RNAcentral.